CGGCCGUAGAACAGUUCUGGCUUUACUGGUGGUUCUCCCCGCCUAAACAUGUGUGACUAAAUCUUUCACCAGGAGAAGGUCUACACACUGGCUUUAUCUCAGACAGAAAAUUUUGUGGAGCUAGUCAACACACAAAACACUAUUACUUAUCAGAGACUCAGAUGGGGUGCGCGAGAAGAUAAUUUAUAUAUACAGUCAAGACAAUAUCAAGGCAGUAAAAAGCGGACAAGUAGCACAUUAGGCCCAAAUAAGUCAUAAUAUAUACAAAAUUUAAUAAAGCCAAAUAAAAUUAAUGUACAAGCUCGAAUUCUUGAAACAUUCUCCAGCAGAGUCGCCAGAGCUGUUACACCUCCUUUUUACACACCCCGAGGGUAUAUAAGGGAGUUUUUCCAAUUAAAGUGACAAAUUUGAGUAGGGAUUGUUUUAUUUAUAGAGUUGCCACUUGGAAUUUGAUUUUGGGGUGUUCCAAGUCACCUUUUAUUUGAAAUCCCUGGAUAGUAGAAAGAAAAUGUCAGCAGGGAGGAACUGAAUUUCAGCAACAAAAGCAGCAGAAAACAGUAGCAAAAUAGUGUUUCAAACAACCCGAAAAUCUUAGAGAGAAAAUCCAGAACCAAAUCUAAAGAAGACUCAUACUUUUCUAAAAGUUUGCACUCUAAAAUUCACCCACAAAGCUCAUCAUUUCAACUUACUAAAUGCUGCUUUAGUUGCUGAUUUUUCACUCUCAAAAUUAUAUUUUUAGGGUGUAAAAACUGUCCUACAAAUGUGUGAUGGAGUCCCCCCUAAAGUGAGGAAAGGGCAACCCUUAAAUAGGCAAAUUUGGACAGAUUUUGGUUCACCAAAAGUUUGUCCAACAAAAACUGACAUUGUGUGCUAAACACUGUUCAAAAUUUGUCCAAAGGUCAAAGGAAAUCUACUAUCUCAGAAACAAAGAGAAAAAAUAUCAUUUCAGCCACCCUAACUUAGUAAAAGUAGGCUACUAGCACCCUAUUUUGUGACAAAAUAACAUAAACUUCAGAUUUUAAAAAUAUCAAUAUCACCAUGUUGAUUCAAACUAAACCAAGUAUUAAAACAUGUAAUUAAACUUCAACUCAUGUGUUAUGAACCAAUCGUAAGCAAACAAAAAUUAACCAUUAAAGCCAAACGAAACGCACGUUAUCGCUGAAGUGAUUUAAUAAAACCAACUAGACAAACAUAAUCAAAAAUGGAUUAAAUGAAGAAGUAAGAUAGAAACUAACUCUAACUAAACAAAUCAGAAAAUUAAUAACGGGGCAGGAUUAUGAUUUUACCAUAUACUCUCAAGUAUUUUCUCACUACCUCACUUUAAUCAACACAAAGCUAUUUUACUACUUCAACAAAUGCAAAAACAGAAAAUUUAACAUUUCAAACUUCAAAAACUAAUGCUAAAAUAAUUAAUAAUAGACAAAAAUAAAAUCUAAAAAAUAAAAAUAAAAAAUUAACCAUGAAAAAGAAUAGAAUUUUUACCAUUUUACAAUUCAAGUGGCCGAAAAAAUGGUGGUAUACCAAAAGAGGGUGUUCGGGGAGGUUGCCGGAUUUUGGUCGCCAGAUUUUUGGUG
This 1574-nucleotide long non-coding RNA is filed under the name Nicotiana tabacum (common tobacco). RNAcentral's name for it is "long non-coding RNA (NTAB_LNC018158)". The record is from RNAcentral. Lineage: Eukaryota; Viridiplantae; Streptophyta; Magnoliopsida; Solanales; Solanaceae.